AGGAAACACAUUUCUACUGUUUAAGCCACUUGGCUGGGAGUACUUGGUUAUGGCAGCCUGAGCAGACUAAACCAGCACCUCAAAGAGUUGUUAUAGGGUAUGCUUAGUGGUAACUGGUUCCUAAAGGCCUUGCUUUCUAAGGCUGACUCCUCACCCUGCAAGGAUGCAUUCUCCCCACUGGCAGAUAUGCAACCAGGAACAGGCAUUAACACGCUUUAUUCCCAGAGUUUUAAUAUUUUCCAUUGCAUAAAAUAUUUGUUCAUGAAAAUGACAAAAUUGCUAUUAGAUUCUAUCACCACAUCUCUGUUGAUUUUACUUUCUGCAAACACAUACAAGUAAUGUAGGCAUACAGUUAAAAAUGAAACCUUAUCCUGUAGUUCCAGCUACUAGGGAGGCUGAAGCAAGAGAAUGGCAUGAACCUGGGAGGCGGAGCUUGUCGUGAGCCCAGAUCAGGCCACUACACUCCAGCCGGGGCAACAGAGCGCAACUCCGUCUCAAAACAAACAAACAAAACAAAACAAAAAAAACUUAUAGACAAGUACAAAAUGAGAAGAAAAAGUCCCUUUCCCUUCAUGCCUCUACUUCCUGCUGUAUUCUCAAAGGUAAGCACUGAUUACAGUUUACUUAUGGAUCUUUCCAGGAAAAUAUUUUAUGCAUUUAUCAGAAAAUGUAAGUAUAUGCAUCCUUUAAAAUUCUGCAUAAAUCAAACUCUGCAGGGUACUAUCUUCCCAUCCUCAUUUGAUAUUUUGUAGAUCUUUUCCUAUUGGCUGUACAGAUCACCUCAUUCUGUCUCCUGGGUCAUACAAUAUAGCUCACAUAAUUCUAAGUCUGAAGGUUGGUCCAAAUGGUUCCAAGAAUGCAGGUACCAAAAAGUAGUCUCUUGAAGAGGCCAUCAGAGACCUGGCUGUUUGUAUCUUCCUCCUCUGCCAUCCACAGUGUCAUCUUCACCCAAGGUGGCUGGAGAAGCUGUUAGGAAUAUGUGGUUUUUUAAAAAUUACAUUCAUAGGAAAAGGGGAGGGAAGAGAAGAAGAAAACCUCUCCCCCUAAGCUCAUGGCUCUUUUUAGUCAGGCUGAGCCAACUAAAGUCAUGUACUUCCCUUAGAUAGGUAACUGUUGCCAGGAAAAUGCCCUGUGUGGAUUGGCCUGGACUAAGCAGGAUCCUCCUCUAAAGAGAGAGAUGAGAUGAAUGCCUGACCCAAGUCUGGGAUCUUGGGUGGGAAGCGUGUGGAUAGUAGGUCAGAGGUCAGCAGUGUCUGUGGUGUAGGAUGUAAUCCCAUCUCCACAGAGCUGCAUACAAGUGUGUUUAAGUGUGUGCAAGUGAUUAACUUUGAUUAGUAGUUUCAACUCUUUACAAUGAACAUAUUUAUCUUUUUUAAAAAAUAAAGCCAUUUUAAAAGAUCUUGCCAUAAAACAAUCAUUCCUUAAGUCACCACUUAGGAUAGACCUAGAAUAUUUGUCCUUUCUCAAGAGCACCAGAGAGUUUUCUGGUAAUCCACGCAAUAAACAGUUAUAAAAGGUAAUUGUUGAGAUCAGGGGAAGAUGGCAGAUAGGAGGCAGUGCUAAUGUGUAGCUCCCACAUGGAUGGACAAAACACCAUGUGGAGACUCACACUGUGACCCUGUUGUGCUCCAAGAACUAUCAUAGGAACAUACUGGGAAAACCAAAAGAAUUCACGGAUCCUUUGAAAGAAGACGCACACCACUGUAAAUUCUGUGGAACAGGAGAAAAACUGUCUUGGAGGAAGGCAUCCUUCUAUUCUACUGAUCAGAAAGCUGGACAAAGUCCCACUGCCAGGCUACACAGUUGGUGCCAUUUGCGGAGGUGACCUUUGACCUUUAACCCACGCGGCCACCCGCCCGAGCUCUUACCCCUGCUGCCCCUCGCGCGUCCCACUCCCCGUCCCUGCCGGAUCCGCUUCCCUGCGCUGGGCCCAGCGCGCCGCCAGGGAAGGGGCCGGAGCCUGGGAGCCCGCCCCGCCGUCGCCCGUCCUCCGCCCGCAGGCCCACCCGCAGCGGUCACGUGAAGGACCGAGCGCCGCGCGCCCAGGCGGGGCCUCCGGCCUGCACGAGGAGGGCAGAGUCCGUUGCGGCUGCCGCCCCGACGCCCGCGCAUCCCCGCUCGCCGCGCCCGCCGCCGCGAUGUCCGGGGCCGGCCUAGCCGCGGUGGUGAGCUGCCUGCGCCCGCAGCCCGGCGAGGAGCCGCAGACCCAUGAGGACCUUCUCCUGGCAGCUGCCUAUGUUUUGGAUGCCCAGUACAACAGAAAUGUUCCAUUUGAAACUCACCUCAGGCCAUCAGACGUUACUAUUUUUAUAACCACUAGACAACGCAGGUUGCCGCAUACUUCUUUAUUUGUGUAGACCUCGCUCUUGCCCUGUUUGAAGAGCCUGAGUUGCUUCCCCUGCCUUUCUUGGCCACCUCAAUAGCAGAAGUACUCUGCCUGACUGCAUACUUUGGCAGACUGGUACAUUUUGCAAAAGUCACUCCUCAAAUGGUUUUCUGGAAGGAUACAAAAGACAUCUGCACCAUGGUAACCACAGUGGCGAGUGUUCAUUGUAGUACCUGUAAGAGUUUAUGACCGAAGGCAGGAGCCAUGAAGAAAAAAGACUCAAUAGAUUUGCUUUUGAUGAAACAACAACACUUCCAUACAGUGAACGCCAUAAGCACAACUGCAAGCAAACCGCAAACUGAAGAACAAAUAGGGCAAAAUGUGGCAGUGCAGACAUUUCAGCAUAUCAAGAGCACUUCCAAAUUACAGGAAAAAAAAGAUAUCUCAAUAGAUAAUUUUGCUGAAGAUAAGUGAAGGCAACUCAUAAGGAAAAAAUAUGUAAAAUGGCCGAUAGGAAAGAUGUUUAACGUCACUAAUUAAAAAUUAUAGAAUAAAACGACAAUAAAAUACCAUGUGUUUGCCUAUAAAACAA
This is a long non-coding RNA of Homo sapiens (human), 2918 nucleotides long. The record is from Ensembl. Lineage: Eukaryota; Metazoa; Chordata; Mammalia; Primates; Hominidae.